RNAcentral lists this ribosomal RNA (443 nucleotides) under uncultured bacterium. RNAcentral describes it as "partial 16S ribosomal RNA". It matches the Rfam family "Bacterial small subunit ribosomal RNA", at positions 338 to 795 of the family's 1533-position model. The record is from RNAcentral.
CCUACGGGCGGCUGCAGUGGGGAAUAUUGCGCAAUGGGCGCAAGCCUGAUGCAGCAACGCCGCGUGAAGGAAGAAGGCUUUCGGCUCGUAAACUUCUAUCACCAGGGACGAAAGAAGUGACGGUACCUGAAGAAGAAGCCACGGCUAACUACGUGCCAGCAGCCGCGGUAAUACGUAGGGGGCAAGCGUUAUCCGGAUUUACUGGGUGUAAAGGGUGAGUAGGCGGCAAAGUAAGCCAGAUGUGAAAGCCAUGGGCUGAACCCGAGGCCUGCAUUUGGAACUGUCAAUCUUGAGUACAGGAGAGGCAGACGGAAUUCCUAGUGUAGCGGUGAAAUGCGUAGAUAUUAGGAAGAACACCAGUGGCGAAGGCGGUCUUCUGGACUGCAACUGACGCUGAGGCGCGAAAGCGUGGGGAGCGAACAGGAUUAGAUACCCGUGUAGUC